This is a long non-coding RNA of Heterocephalus glaber (naked mole-rat), 1117 nucleotides long. Lineage: Eukaryota; Metazoa; Chordata; Mammalia; Rodentia; Bathyergidae. The record is from Ensembl.
GGCUGGCGCUGCCCUUUUUCUUCCCUCGGCCCCACCCCUCCGCGGCUCUGCGUCUUCCUGCUCCUCUGCCCCGCGCCCCGCGUAACCCGCCGCCGCCGGGACCCGGCCGAGUGCCCGCAGGGUCUGACCGAGGAGGCCUGGGGAGGUGGGGGACCCCACCUGGCCUCUGGGAGACCCGCGCGCGGAGGGAUCAGAGCACUCUGGCGGCCCGCAGUCCUGCCCAGCCCUCCUCUGUAUUGGGCUAGCACAGGGUGGCGCCACGCAGUGUUAACCAGUUGUCCGCACACGUCCUACAUUUCGUAGGGAGUUAUCACGUUCCCAGCUCUUGAGGAAUUAGAAUGCGAGUAUAUGGCAAGGAUGAGCCAGCACUUCCUUCCAGAGACUACACAGUGUUCCAGAGAGCUGAGCACAGGAGCCUGGCUUUGUACACAGAAAAUGACUGAAGAAAGCAAAAUCGAAAAGUAGAUUGGUCACUUCCAUUUCUUUCCUUGUGGGGUCGGGACAGAAUAAUAGAAAAAUAACUGAUUGGUUAACAUCAAGUUACUUCAGGUAAUUUUUCCGGGUAAAUUUAAGAUUAGAGGAAACAUCAGUAUCAUGACAAUUAAAACUGAUCUGUCUGGGAAAUUCAGUUGUUCUCCAUAUAAUCCUGAUUUCUAUGACAGCCACACACACAGUUUUUAGAUUCCGCUUGGUGAAACAGCUUAGUUUAGCAUGAAUGAUUCCAUUUUGAUUUUUAGUGUGGUAUCUUGGGGCCCAGUCUAAAGUAAUGAUCUCCUGUAAUUUUUAUUUAGCAACAUCCAGACAUGGAGUUUUUGGAUCAUAGAGUGUACAUAAAGUGCACACACCUGUAAUCCCAGCAUUCAGGAGGCAGAGGCAGGAGGAUCACUGUGAGUUCGAGGCCAGCCUGGGCUACAUAGUGAGAUCUUGUCUCAAAAUACCAAAAUAAAAAGUUUUAGUUAGGUAUUUUCCCACCAGCUGUGAGAGCUGCCCUUACUCCAUAUCCUUCCAAAAAUUUGGGUUAGAUUUUUAAAAUUUUGUCAGUUGAAUGAGUGGAAGUGGUAUAAAUAUAUUUUAACUCUUCAUAAUGAAAAAUUCCAAGUAUUUAUACAGUAGUGAG